This 27-nucleotide small RNA is filed under the name Bombyx mori (domestic silkworm). Its description in RNAcentral is "ovarian small RNA-10880". Lineage: Eukaryota; Metazoa; Arthropoda; Insecta; Lepidoptera; Bombycidae. The record is from RNAcentral.
AAUUGAGGUAUGGCAGAGUGACAGCUU